CCACCGAUACCGGAGGUACUGACGGGGCGCCGAGGGGAAGGAGCGCCGGGCUUGUACGAGACGGCGGCGGCGAAAGAGAAGCAACAGGAGGAGGGGCAAUGUUACGACGGGGCAAUUUGCAUGGUCGCGUUGGUUGUGGUUGAGUCGGGGGGAGGAAAGACGGAGCGCCGGUCCCCGCGGGCGCCGCCUGCCGCAUCCCAGGCGGCUGGAGUUGGCGGAGGCCCGGAGACGAUACGGACAGCGCCUGUCGGGAGAUGGGUGAAUGUGGCUAGGUGUACUCAACGGAGCCGGAGAGUGACCACGCCUAGAUUACCUCAGUCCGCCCCUCCCCGAGUUCCAACGGAUGGUCCCGAAGGGUCCUCGAAUGUCGCUCAGGCGUCGUUUCUUCCGGAUAGGUGUAACGGUCUGGCACGGUACGCUCGUGAAGCUAUGACGUAAAGUCCGACAACUUUUGACAUGUCAACUAUCCCGUCAUGACGGUGAACUCUUAUGAGACCCGCCAUCAUAUGUAGCCUUGAUACUGGAAGAUGAAGCAGUACUCGAUGUGUAUCAACCUCUACAAGCGGUACGUCAAGCCGUAACGAACAAUCGGUUAGCACCCCACUUCUAACCUCUGGAUUCUUCACACUACUCGGUAGGGGUCCGAGAACGCGUUACACUCGUAUGUGACUGUCUCAAUCCUUAACUUGUCUCUGUUCGACAACUACUGUGACGACCACGUCGUUUCAAUAAAUGUCUUGUUUACGAGGUUCUAUGACCACGGCAACGGUCAAGUAAUCGACGACUUGAAAUACCUGACCUAUAAGAACGACUUUUAUAAGUCCUGCUUUUUCUCUUGCAGUGGGCAAAAUACUACGAACGAGCCCUUGGAUAACAUGGAGUCCAACUAUUUGGUAAGUUCUGGUCGUAACACAAAGGUGAACUUCUAACCUUUGGACGUGUUGAGGAGUUCCGUGAACGUCAAAAACGUGACUCCCUGUAGUUGGAGUGGUUCUAUCUUUCGGCGGGUGUGUUCUUUUCCGGAAAGGCACAUCGACUACUGUGAAAGAGGUGUGGGCAGUUCAUGAAGUUGAUGGAGAAAAUACAGCUGGAACUCCGUAGUUACCGACUAGGUUUUUGAGCCUUUCGAGAACCUUUAAACCUCCUCAAACGUGGGAAACAUUCUCAGGACCCCUCGAUAGGAUGUCUGCACUCGCUUCAAACUUAUUGUUCACGAACGACGAUUAGUGUAGGAUCACUCAUUAGUACCUCUCAGUCUUUCUACGUCGAGAGUCUCGGAUAAAGGAUAAACCUAACCCUAAAUUCGCCAGAAUGAGUAUUUGACAUGGACCGGUAAAUUGUCGUCUUAUCGCCUACAUGAGUCCCACCCAUCUUGACCUUAAGACUUGAUACGUAACACCCCC
Molecule: ribosomal RNA, 1403 nt
Filed under: Triticum aestivum (bread wheat)
Lineage: Eukaryota; Viridiplantae; Streptophyta; Magnoliopsida; Poales; Poaceae
Description: partial small subunit ribosomal RNA
Source: RNAcentral